GAUUAACGCUGGCGGCGUGCAUAACACAUGCAAGUCGAACGAAGUGGCGGACGGGUGAGUAACGCGUGAGUAACCUGCCUUAGAGAAGGGGAUAGCCUUUGGAAACGAAGAAUAAUACCCUAUGCUCUAAGAUGGACUUGCGUCUGAUUAGUUAGUUGGUGGGGUAACGGCCCACCAAGACAGCGAUCAGUAGCCGGCUUGAGAGAGUGUACGGCCACAUGGGGACUGAGACACGGCCCAGACUCUACGGGAGGCAGCAGUGGGGAAUUUUGCACAAUGGGGGAAACCCUGAUGCAGCGACGCCGCGUGAUUUAGAAGGCCUUCGGGUUGUAAACCGCUUUCAGCCAUGACGCGGUAGUGGCAGAAGAAGCACCGGCUAACUACGUGCCAGCAGCCGCGGUAAUUC
RNAcentral lists this ribosomal RNA (406 nucleotides) under uncultured bacterium. RNAcentral's name for it is "partial 16S ribosomal RNA". It matches the Rfam family "Bacterial small subunit ribosomal RNA", at positions 28 to 526 of the family's 1533-position model. The record is from RNAcentral.